UAGGCUUCGCAGGAGUUGAUUUCUUUGUCUUCUUUGUUCCCACUCUCUUAGCUGCAGGCUUUGCAGCUUCACUUUUGUUCACAGACCUUGUCUUUCUCGUGGUGGUCGUGGUCGUGGUCGUGGUAGUGUUUCUUGCUUUUUUGGUUUCUUUAGCUUCCUUAUCUGCUUUACCUUUAGCCUUUGGGACCUUUCCGGUGCCUUUCUCUUUCUUGCCUGCUUCUGAUAGCUUGUAAGAGCCUUUGAUCUUUAUAAGUUUUCCUCUGGAGGUCGAGUUCUUCAAUUGUAAAGCUAAGAUUUUCUUAAAAUUUGCAGGUAGCACCGCCUUGUGCUUCUCUUCCAUGUACUUGGCUAUGGCGUAUGGACUUGAUCCGCCAGUCUUCUCGUCCAAUGCCAACAGAGCUUCCUUGAUCAUCUGAGUAUCCCACAAAAUUAAAAAAGAUUUAAAGCACUACAACUACGUACAAUAAAUUAAUCAAAACAUAUAACACACCUGAAAAUAUGGAGGAUGUGAAGCGGUUUUGGGCUGUUUAG
This 531-nucleotide long non-coding RNA is filed under the name Manihot esculenta (cassava). RNAcentral describes it as "long non-coding RNA (MESC_LNC000543)". The record is from RNAcentral. Lineage: Eukaryota; Viridiplantae; Streptophyta; Magnoliopsida; Malpighiales; Euphorbiaceae.